This 436-nucleotide ribosomal RNA is filed under the name uncultured bacterium. Its description in RNAcentral is "bacterial SSU rRNA". It matches the Rfam family "Bacterial small subunit ribosomal RNA", at positions 43 to 524 of the family's 1533-position model. The record is from RNAcentral.
CAGGCCUAACACAUGCAAGUCGAACGAUGGCUUCGGCCAUAGUGGCGCACGGGUGCGUAACGCGUGGGAAUCUGCCCUUGGGUUCGGAAUAACAGCGGGAAACUGCUGCUAAUACCGGAUGAUGACGUAAGUCCAAAGAUUUAUCGCCCAAGGAUGAGCCCGCGUAGGAUUAGCUAGUUGGUGAGGUAAAGGCUCACCAAGGCGACGAUCCUUAGCUGGUCUGAGAGGAUGAUCAGCCACACUGGGACUGAGACACGGCCCAGACUCCUACGGGAGGCAGCAGUGGGGAAUAUUGGACAAUGGGCGAAAGCCUGAUCCAGCAAUGCCGCGUGAGUGAUGAAGGCCUUAGGGUUGUAAAGCUCUUUUACCCNGGGAUGAUAAUGACAGUACCGGGAGAAUAAGCUCCGGCUAACUCCGUGCCAGCAGCCGCGGUAAU